AAACCAACAGGGAUUGCCUUAGUAACGGCGAGUGAAGCGGCAAGAGCUCAAAUUUGAAAUCUGGUACCUUCGGUGCCCGAGUUGUAAUUUGAAGAAGGUAUUCUUGAUUCUGGCCUUUAUCUAUGUUCCUUGGAACAGGACGUCACAGAGGGUGAGAAUCCCGUGCGAUGAGGUGUCCAGUUUUAUGUAAGAUUCCUUCGAAGAGUCGAGUUGUUUGGGAAUGCAGCUCUAAGUGGGUGGUAAAUUCCAUCUAAAGCUAAAUAUUGGCGAGAGACCGAUAGCGAACAAGUACAGUGAUGGAAAGAUGAAAAGAACUUUGAAAAGAGAGUGAAAAAGUACGUGAAAUUGCUGAAAGGGAAGGGUUUUAGAUCAGACUUGGUAUUUAACAAUCAUUCUCUCUUUGAGGGUUUGCUCUUGUUUUUUACUGGGCCAGCAUCGGUUUGGGUGGCAGGAUAAUGACAUUGGAACGUGGCACCCCUCGGGGUGUGUUAUAGCCUUUGUUGAUACUGCCUACCUAGACCGAGGACUGCGUUUUUUAACUAGGAUGCUGGCGUAAUGAUCUAAAACCGC
RNAcentral lists this ribosomal RNA (570 nucleotides) under Kuraishia floccosa. RNAcentral describes it as "eukaryotic LSU rRNA". It matches the Rfam family "Eukaryotic large subunit ribosomal RNA", at positions 62 to 648 of the family's 3401-position model. Lineage: Eukaryota; Fungi; Ascomycota; Pichiomycetes; Pichiales; Pichiaceae. The record is from RNAcentral.